UCCGGGGACCGAGUAGAGUGGCGUCCGGGUGAGUAACACGUGGGUAAUUUGCCUUCGGGUGGGGAAUAACACCUCGAAAGAGGUGCUAAUACCGCAUAAUGCAGCGGCACCUUAUGGUGACAGUUGUUAAAGCGGGGGAUCGCAAGACCUCGCGCCUGAAGAGAAGCCCGCGGCGGAUUAGCUAGUUGGUGGGGUAAUGGCCCACCAAGGCAACGAUCCGUAGCCGGCCUGAGAGGGCGGUCGGCCACACUGACACUGACACACGGGUCAGACUCCUACGGGAGGCAGCAGUCGGGAAUUUUGGGCAAUGGGCGAAAGCCUGACCCAGCAACGCCGCGUGAAGGAUGAAGUUUCUCGGAAUGUAAACUUCACAAGAAUGGGAAGAAUAAGUGAGGGAUAAUACCCCUUACGAUGACGGUACCAUUUGUAAGCUCCGGCUAACUCCGUGCCAGCAGCCGCGGUAAUACGGGGGGAGCAAGCGUUGUUCGGAUUUACUGGGCGUAAAGGGCGCGUAGGCGGCGUGACAAGUCACUUGUGAAAUCUCCGGGCUUAACUCGGAGCGGCCAAGUGAUACUGUCGUGCUAGAGUGCGGAAGGGGCAAUCGGAAUUCUUGGUGUAGCGGUGAAAUGCGUAGAUAUCAAGAGGAACACCUGAGGUGAAGACGGGUUGCUGGGCUGACACUGACGCUGAGGCGCGAAAGCCAGGGGGAGCAACGGGAUUAGAUACCCCGGUAGUC
This 736-nucleotide ribosomal RNA is filed under the name uncultured bacterium. RNAcentral's name for it is "bacterial SSU rRNA". It matches the Rfam family "Bacterial small subunit ribosomal RNA", at positions 77 to 795 of the family's 1533-position model. The record is from RNAcentral.